Molecule: long non-coding RNA, 218 nt
Organism: Danio aesculapii
Lineage: Eukaryota; Metazoa; Chordata; Actinopteri; Cypriniformes; Danionidae
Exons: 3
Source: RefSeq, a predicted model, not a curated record
UGAAAUGGUCCGAUGCACUUCACUUGCAAUGCAGAUCAUCAUUUCUGGACAGCUUUCUACUUACUGCUGUGGACAUGAAAGGAUCGUCCUAGGCUUGCCCAUGCUGAUGGGCUGCACCACAGCAGUACUGGAGCUGAAUUCCUGUUAGAAAACAUCUUCAGGAUGCUUUGACCAGGACACCUCCAAUGUGAAGCAGUGGACAGCUGAAGAUGUUGCUG